AUUGAACGCUGGCGGCAGGCCUAACACAUGCAAGUCGAGCGGAUGAAGGGAGCUUGCUCCUGGAUUCCGCGGCGGACGGGUGAGUAAUGCCUAGGAAUCUGCCUGGUAUUGGGGGAUAACGUCCGGACACGGGCGCUAAUACCGCAUACGUCCUGAGGGAGAAAGUGGGGGAUCUUCGGACCUCACGCUAUCUGAUGAGCCUAGGUCGGAUUAGCUAGUUGGUGUGGUAACGGCCUACCAAGGCGACGAUCCGUAGCCGGUCUGAGAGGAUGAUCAGUCACACUGGAACUGAGACACGGUCCAGACUCCUACGGGAGGCAGCAGUGGGGAAUAUUGGACAAUGGGCGAAAGCCUGAUCCAGCAAUGCCGCGUGUGUGAAGAAGGUCUUCGGAUUGUAAAGCACUUUAAGUUGGGAGGAAGGGAAGUAAGUUAAUACCUUGCUGUUUUGACGGUACCAACAGAAUAAGCCCCGGCUAACUACGUG
Molecule: ribosomal RNA, 484 nt
Filed under: uncultured bacterium
Lineage: Bacteria
Description: partial 16S ribosomal RNA
Rfam family: Bacterial small subunit ribosomal RNA
Source: RNAcentral